CGUGACCAACCUGCCCCAUGCUCCAGAAUAGCUCUUGGAAACGGGUGGUAAUGCUGGAUGCUCCAACUUGACGCAUGUCUUGUUGGGAAAGUGUUUAGUGGCAUGGGAUGGGGUCGCGUCCUAUCAGCUUGUAGGCGGGGUAAUGGCCCACCUAGGCUUCGACGGGUAGCCGGCCUGAGAGGGCGGACGGCCACAUUGGGACUGAGAUACGGCCCAGACUCCUACGGGAGGCAGCAGAC
This 239-nucleotide ribosomal RNA is filed under the name uncultured Gardnerella sp. RNAcentral describes it as "partial 16S ribosomal RNA". It matches the Rfam family "Bacterial small subunit ribosomal RNA", at positions 116 to 354 of the family's 1533-position model. Lineage: Bacteria; Bacillati; Actinomycetota; Actinomycetes; Bifidobacteriales; Bifidobacteriaceae. The record is from RNAcentral.